Molecule: long non-coding RNA, 694 nt
Organism: Engraulis encrasicolus (European anchovy)
Lineage: Eukaryota; Metazoa; Chordata; Actinopteri; Clupeiformes; Engraulidae
Exons: 3
Source: RefSeq, a predicted model, not a curated record
AGUCGUCAUUUCAAGGUGUUUUCGCGGACGUAUUGGCAUGUGGAUGUUGACAGUGUCGGAAGUAUUAAUCAAAGUUGACACGAGAAGUUGGAGCGAAUGCGAGAAGAGAAAGCUAUGAGCUGCCUGCCUGCUGCUGCCUACUGCCUACUCCUGCUGCUGCCGCUGCUGCUGUUGCAUCCAAUGUUGGGUAGCCAGCCACCCAUGCAUGUUGACACAGCCAGCAGCGGGCACCCAUGGCACAUGGGGAUGGACCCAGGAGUGGAGGAUGACCCAAUAGGGUGAGUUAGUGAGCUAAUGUCAUACACAUGUAAUUGUUUUAGGUGUAUGGGAAAUAAUUAAAUGUUUGUUUACAUUGUACAGAUGAACGUUCAGCCCACUCACUGUUGACACCAGUGACACACAUAUUGACCAGAUCUCCUGGAAGUGCCCCCUGACGCAGACCCAGUUGUUGGGUAGCCACCCAUGCACGUUGACACAGCCAGCACCGAGCACCCAGGGGGAUGGACCCAGGAAUGGAGGAUGGCCCAAUAGGGUGAGUUGCUGAGCCAAUGUCAGAAACAUGUAGACUAUACCCUACCCUCAUAUGUAAACCUUCGCUAGUCUGUUUCUCCCUUAAUAUUGGUGUCAGAUUCGCACAAAUGCAGUUCUGGGGUGCUACCUUGCUACUAAACAGGCACAGCAAGUAUGAUUUGAA